This 612-nucleotide ribosomal RNA is filed under the name Rhizobium etli. RNAcentral's name for it is "bacterial SSU rRNA". It matches the Rfam family "Bacterial small subunit ribosomal RNA", at positions 44 to 705 of the family's 1533-position model. The record is from RNAcentral. Lineage: Bacteria; Pseudomonadati; Pseudomonadota; Alphaproteobacteria; Hyphomicrobiales; Rhizobiaceae.
AGGCUUAACACAUGCAAGUCGAGCGCCCCGCAAGGGGAGCGGCAGACGGGUGAGUAACGCGUGGGAACGUACCCUUUACUACGGAAUAACGCAGGGAAACUUGUGCUAAUACCGUAUGUGCCCUUCGGGGGAAAGAUUUAUCGGUAAAGGAUCGGCCCGCGUUGGAUUAGCUAGUUGGUGGGGUAAAGGCCUACCAAGGCGACGAUCCAUAGCUGGUCUGAGAGGAUGAUCAGCCACAUUGGGACUGAGACACGGCCCAAACUCCUACGGGAGGCAGCAGUGGGGAAUAUUGGACAAUGGGCGCAAGCCUGAUCCAGCCAUGCCGCGUGAGUGAUGAAGGCCCUAGGGUUGUAAAGCUCUUUCACCGGAGAAGAUAAUGACGGUAUCCGGAGAAGAAGCCCCGGCUAACUUCGUGCCAGCAGCCGCGGUAAUACGAAGGGGGCUAGCGUUGUUCGGAAUUACUGGGCGUAAAGCGCACGUAGGCGGAUCGAUCAGUCAGGGGUGAAAUCCCAGGGCUCAACCCUGGAACUGCUUUGAUACUGUCGAUCUGGAGUAUGGAAGAAGUGAGUGGAAUUCCGAGUGUAGAGGUGAAAUUCGUAGAUAUUCGGAGGA